This 154-nucleotide microRNA precursor is filed under the name Amborella trichopoda. RNAcentral's name for it is "MIR8565 microRNA precursor family". It matches the Rfam family "MIR8565 microRNA precursor family". Lineage: Eukaryota; Viridiplantae; Streptophyta; Magnoliopsida; Amborellales; Amborellaceae. The record is from Rfam by way of RNAcentral.
CCCACACCCAUGUGUGUAGGACCCCAAAGGAUCACCAUUAAAUAUGACACGGAUCUUUAGAAAAGUUAUCAUAAGAGUGUGGGACUUGACUGUUCUAGAGAUCUGUGUCCUAUUUAAUGGUGAUCUUUUGGGGUCCUACACACAUGGGUGAGGG